UACAGAGGGUGCAAGCGUUAAUCGGAAUUACUGGGCGUAAAGCGCACGCAGGCGGCGACCCCAGUCGGAUGUGAAAGCCCCGGGCUUAACCUGGGAAUCGCAUUCGAAACUAGGUCGCUAGAAUGUGGUAGAGGGAAGUGGAAUUCCAGGUGUAGCGGUGAAAUGCGUAGAUAUCUGGAGGAACAUCAGUGGCGAAGGCGACUUCCUGGACCAACAUUGACGCUCAGGUGCGAAAGCGUGGGGAGCAAACAGG
This 253-nucleotide ribosomal RNA is filed under the name uncultured bacterium. RNAcentral's name for it is "partial 16S ribosomal RNA". It matches the Rfam family "Bacterial small subunit ribosomal RNA", at positions 524 to 776 of the family's 1533-position model. The record is from RNAcentral.